This 1101-nucleotide long non-coding RNA is filed under the name Monodelphis domestica (gray short-tailed opossum). RNAcentral's name for it is "lncRNA (ENSMODG00000043344.1)". Lineage: Eukaryota; Metazoa; Chordata; Mammalia; Didelphimorphia; Didelphidae. The record is from RNAcentral.
AGCGCGGAGGGGAAAUGGCUGCCAAAAACAAGUCGGAAGAGGAUCAUGGGAAUGCAGUGGCAGCCAAGUAAAAAAAUGUUUUUUUUACCAAAAAAGUUACUUGACUAUCUACUGAGACGUACAAGUUUACCCAAAGAGAGGCACCACUGGAAGAUUAACAAGAGGUCAUGAUGCAAAAGUCCAUUUGGAUUUCUUUUUAAUAAUGUGUGACCCUUCACCUUUGAUCUCUUGACCUGCAUUACGUUGGUCCAGACAUUGAGUAGAGCCUGCUACACACACAUCAGUUCUCAGUGUAACGACCCCUACUUAGGCCCUUAGAUAGAGGAGAGAUAGGUGCAGAAGACAGACAUCUUAAAAUAUCCAAAAUGAUUUUAUAAAUGCUCCAGAUAUUAGAAAUGACUUGAAUCUCCAAGGGACUGAAGUUAAAAAAAAGGUAUCCACUGCCUUAGAAGGAACUGAUGGAAUCCAAAUGCAGAAUGAAGUAUACUUUUUUUUCAUUUUACUUCCUCCAUGAAUUUUUUUGAACUUUUUCACACUAAAGACAGCAACAAAGUUUCACUUUUGCAAAAGAAAUUUAAUUUGCAUUCACUGAGAGGACUUAUGAAUCAUAAUGCUCUUUACAGAGUGGAAGACACACAAUCUGAUGUGUAGAAAGAAGUCAAGACCUGAGGAAUGAAGAUGUAUUCACUGCUUAGAUUGAUGGUUUUGUGUGUGAGAAAGUCUGCAUAUUGACUUACUUUGAUUUAGAAAAGAAUUAUUUCUAUAUAAUCUAAUAAUCAAAAAACUGAGAAUAUGGCAAAAGUAAAAGUAGUCCAAAUGUCAAAUGUACUGACAUUUCAUUAGGACUGCAAAUUACUACAGAUGGCCUUUCUCCUUUUUUAACCUUUGUCCAGUUAAUUAGCUCAUAAAUAAUCUCUUUUGGGGGAUACCAAGGGAAACAACACUGUAGCCUUAAUCCUAACGGAAGGGUUAGCAUAUUUACACAGAUGUAGCCAGUGAGCUUUAAGUCUACUGAUGGAUUUUGCUCUAGAUUUGGAACUGACCUGAAAGAAGAGAGCAGAAACCAGCUGGUGAAAAAUAAACUAUCAACUACAUUGUACA